Molecule: ribosomal RNA, 872 nt
Filed under: uncultured bacterium
Lineage: Bacteria
Description: bacterial SSU rRNA
Rfam family: Bacterial small subunit ribosomal RNA
Source: RNAcentral
AGAGUUUGAUCAUGGCUCAGGACGAACGCUGGCGGCGUGCUUAACACAUGCAAGUCGAACGGGAGUACUUUGAAAGCUUGCUGAUGAGUACUUUAGUGGCGGACGGGUGAGUAACGCGUGAGGAGCUGUCCUAUGCAGGGGGACAACAGUUGGAAACGGCUGCUAAUACCCCAUAAGCCGAGAGGUAAAAGGAGUAAUCCGGCAGAGGAGGCACUCGCGUCCUAUCAGCUAGUAGGUUGGGUAACGGCCGACCUAGGCGAAGACGGGUAGCCGGCCUGAGAGGGCGAACGGCCACACUGGAACUGAGAUACGGUCCAGACUCCUACGGGAGGCAGCAGUGGGGAAUAUUGGGCAAUGGGGGGCAACCCUGACCCAGCCACGCGACGCCGCGUGGGUGAAGAAAUCCUUCGGGAUGUAAAGCCCUGUUGUAUGGGAAGAGCAGAAGACGGUACCAUACGAGGAAGCCCCGGCAAACUACGUGCCAGCAGCCGCGGUAAUACGUAGGGGGGCGAGCGUUGUCCGGAAUUACUGGGGCGUAAAGCGCACGCAGGCCGAAUUAUAAGUCGGUAGUCAAAGGCGGAGGCUCAACCUUCGUUUAUCUAUCGAAACUGUAAAUCUAGAGUAUGUGAGAGGGAAGUGGAAUUCCCGGUGUAGCGGUGAAAUGCGUAGAUAUCGGGAGGAACACCAGUGGCGAAGGCGACUUCCUGGCACAAUACUGACGCUCAUGUGCGAAAGCUAGGGUAGCGAACGGGAUUAGAUACCCCGGUAGUCCUAGCCGUAAACGAUGGAUACUAGGUGUGGGUGUCGCAGGGCAUCCGUGCCGCAGCUAACGCGUUAUGUAUCCCGCCUGGGGAAUACGGUCGCAAGACUGA